This 60-nucleotide microRNA precursor is filed under the name Bos taurus (domestic cattle). RNAcentral's name for it is "Bta-Mir-2285-P3_pre stem-loop". The record is from RNAcentral. Lineage: Eukaryota; Metazoa; Chordata; Mammalia; Artiodactyla; Bovidae.
UAAAAGUUCAUUUGGGUUUUUCUAUAACAUCUUGCAGAAAAACCGGAAUGAACUUUUUGG